GGGGUGCGGGGAGAGGAAAUGGCACGAUAUGGGUCAAGGGCACAAAGUCGCAGUUAUGCAAGAUAAAUAAGUUCUGGAGGUCUAAUACGGAGACGGUGAUGAGAGUUAACAAUACUGUAUUGUAUAUUUGAUAUUUGUAAGAGGAUAGAUCUUAAAUCUUCUCAAUAGACACGUGCAAAUGGUAACUGUGUAGAGGUGAUAAAUAUGUUAAUUAGCUUGAUAGUGGUGAUCAUUUCACAAUGUGUGUGCAUAUGAAAACAUCAGGUCACGCAUCUUAAGUACAUACAAUUUUUAAUGUCAGUGGUACCUCAAUAAAGCUGUUACAAAUCUAUAUAAAGAGGAGGAAGUCAGGCAGGAAUCUUCCCACUGUGCGGCCUGCCUCUUUGCACUUCUUUGAAUUGCGUUUAUCACAGGCUACCUUAUGUAAGGAUGACGUGAAUGUCUGUGUGCCUUUCCCCCUCAAUUACAGCCUCUUGGCACGGAGGGCCUCUGUUUCACUGAUCUUAAUACAGCUACAGCAAACAGCAGGCACUCAAUGCUUGUUGGAGAAAAAUCCAAUCGAUUUCACUUUGGCAUCAGCUAUUCAGUUGGAAGCAGCUCAAGAAACAUACGGAUAUCAGAGAGGAGGGUGAGUGGCUUUCAAGGUCCAACUAAGGAGGUCACCUGAUCAUUCAGUGUUUGAAAGACACCAGCCAGCCACAGGCAUCCAUCUAACUGACCGGGCCAAUGAAAGACGAGAGCCAGCAGCGGCAUGUGCUGGAAAGAACACAACACCAGAGACGAGCUGAUUUGAUUCCAGAGGACUGAAGUGUCUAAAUGCAACAUCCAGGCCAGGCAUGCCCUGGCAAAGGACAGCCCCUUCUCAACAUGUGAAGCAUGGGACGAAGGUCCCGAUCUGAGGAAUUCGGAUCCUUUCUUGCAUGAGCCGUGGAUCUGAGUUUGAAUCUUGGCUGUAUUCCUAAUGAGUGAUCUGGGAAUGUUGAAGCAGGCUGGAGUGGGACGAUCCUUCCAGGUGGAUAGCUCUGGCAAAGCUCUUCUGAAGGUCAGGCCUUUGUAAUGGAGAAGGCUCCUGGUGUAUUUCCCUCCUGCCAGCAGAGCCAAGAAGGGAUCUUUCUUGGAUCUUCAGCAUGUGAACCUGGUAGGGUUCCUGGAGGUUAAAAACUCACAAAAGUGUGGGUCCUUCUAAGACUGUGGCCCCCAGGAGUUUCUCACUCUCAUGGUCAUCCACACUGAGCCUCCAGAAAUUUGUCAAAAUUGCCUUCUGAGUCUUCCUACCAGCUUAUGACCCCCAAAAUUUCUCUUCUUGGUAAGCAGAUCUCACCUGUGUCUCUCUGGAUUUUAGGGUGGCAGUUUCUCUUACAACUAAGGCCAUCUCAUGAGUCAAAAAACUUCAUUGAUUUUUCAUGUUGUCCAAUUUUUUCUUGGUGUAGGGUGGGAAUAAAAAUUUCCAAGCUCUUUACAUGUCCAAGUUGAAACUGACAGUCCUGUAUUGACUUUAAAAAAUGUUUAUUUAUUUAUUUAUUUGGAGGGGUGGGCAGAGAGAGAGGGAGAGAACCCCAGGCAGCUUGUGCUAUCAGUGCAGAUCCUGACACAAGGCUCAAUCUUACAAACCAUGAGAUCAUGACUUGAGCCAAAAUCAAGAGUCAGAUACUUAACCAACUUAGCCACCUAGGAACCCCCCCCCCCCCAUAUACCCCCCAUAUCAACUUUUUUAAAGAGUGCACCUGAUUAUGUCAGGAUCACUCAGAAUAAACUCCCUUUUGAUUAGUCUAAUACCAGGAGAGAAAUUCCCUGUGUACAUACAUAUCACCCACACUCAGUGGGAGGAGACUACAUAUAGUAUAUACACCAGGGGGUGGGAAUCUUGGGGGCCAUAUUAAAAUUCUGCCUACUACAACUUGCCAGAGUAGGUGACAUUUGAAGUUAGUUUUAAAAAAACAAGUGGAAGGAACUGACCUGGAAGUGGGGGGA
Molecule: long non-coding RNA, 1971 nt
Organism: Felis catus (domestic cat)
Lineage: Eukaryota; Metazoa; Chordata; Mammalia; Carnivora; Felidae
Exons: 5
Source: RefSeq, a predicted model, not a curated record